CAUCUCCAUCUGGGCAGGCACCCGGUGAUGAUUGCAUAGCAACUUGAUAGGCCCCCGCGUCGCUCUCUCCCAAGGGCGACACGGGCGGCGGCGCCGUCGUCCCGUCCUCGGGUUCCUACACCCUUCCCGGUCUGGCCGCUGCCCGAGCUCGCCGCCGGGAAUCCGGUGGAGGGCAAGGACGGCAGCGGACGGGCGUCUUUCUCCCUCUCCAUGCCCGCGUCGUUCUCUCCCCCUCCCCUCUCUCCUUCAGUGCCGGCGACCGUCGGGCGGCGUGGGGGUCAAUCCGUCUCCUCCGCGGCCGGAUCCGGCAUCCCCACGGCCGGAUCGGGCUCCCCCACGAUUGGUGCGGCCAGAUCGGCCAGCGGCGGACCAACCUAGGGUUGGUGCGGCGAAUCGCCCGGCGGUGCUGCGAGGUGGCGGCCUACUCGACGGUGGCGACCGAUCUGGCUUGCCCCCCUGUGGGCUCGGUGACGCGGACAGCGGCACCAUUCCUCGAUGCCCGGCGUUCCCGCACCAAUGUUGCUCUUUUUAUUUUUCUAAUGAUGAGCCACUGAUGGUAUUGUUUUCUCGAUCCCUUUUGUUCUUGCUGACAAUGGGCAAUUUUACACUGUUAUUGUGCAGAAAGGAUUUGAUCCGGCGUCCUCAUUGGCAAAUGCACUGCGGAAGACGAACUGAUCCGGCGUCCUCAUCAGCAAACUUGUCUGUAUAAAAGGAUCAGAUGCCCUUUCAAAACACUUGAAUAAUUAUAGAUUAUUAAUGGCUAAGCAAAAUCGUUUCUGCUAGAGUGCACACUUUAUGCUGCAAAUGCCGAGACAUUGUCACAUCUUGUACUGCUGGCUAACUAUCUGUGUUCUCUCAUAAGAAUCAAAAUCGGUCACAAAACCAGAUGGUGAGUUUUGUUAUUUUUAUGUGUAUGUUUGAUCAUUUUAUAUGAGAAGAGCCAUUUCUUAUGGUCAUUGUUUGUUAUCUAAAAAUAAUCAUCUCUGCCCCUACAUAAACCAAUGUUUGUAAAAUAAUAUAUAGACUGACUGUGGACUGUGCUAUAUGUUUGCUUUUGUUACAAUGAUGAUAUUCUUGACUAACAUGUCUGCCCCUGCAUAACCCAAGUUUGCUGAUGAGGACAAUCUCUUGUUCCUCGCUGAGAACUGAAAUUUCUUCUCCCUAUCCCUUUGAUCUUGUCUGGCUAUUUCCCGUGAGAAAAGUAUUGUCAUAAGCUGCAUUUAAAAUUGAUAUUCACUUAGUCAUUUGUCGAGUGGAGCUAAGUGAAAUCUAUUUUUUAUGAGAUUAUUCACUUAAUCAUUUGUCGAGUUAAGGUAAGUGAAAUCUGUUUUUUUAUAAGAUUAUUCACUUAGUCAUUUGUCGAGUUUAAGUGAAAUCUGUUCUUUUUUAUGAGAUAUUGCAGACUUGCAGCUGCAGAUUAUGGAUUUAUAUUUUUUUUUCUUCACUAAGUAUUACCCUGAAGCCCCAUCUACUUGGUUGAUUUUAACCCCAAUAUAGAAGGUGGACAUGCAGAUAGAUGGCCAUGUAUCCUCACAGGAUACAGAUUGUCCAAAUUUUAGGCAUGGAAGAACAUGGAAGCUUGAGGUGGCAAUGGUAAAUUGACCGGAGCUGUCGUCGGCACCGUUGAGCUCUAGAACCCAGGUGCACCGAGUACUAUGUUAUGCCGAAUGGAGCCUGCUGGUCGGAGUGUGAGUGGAAGCCGCCGUCGGAGGUGGUCGACGACUGCGCGCUGGUUCCAGAACGUGUACAAGGAGGCUCGCAACGGGACAUCGCCAACCCCCAAGAACGAGUACAAGUUGUCUGUGCUAGGUACAUGGGGAUUCGAUUUAGCUUCCAUGGAUGUCAUUUCAUAGAUAUAUGAAUGGAUUGAUGAAGGAUGUUUCUGUUGUUCCUAGAACCACCAUUCUUCAGGGCAGCAGCGUUAGCAUUUUCACAAUAAGAGCAAGAUGACACACAUACUUCAAUAUGUUGCUUUGGAGCUGCGACGCUCUGGUCCUUGGAAGACCCAUCAGCCAGAACAGAGAGGGGAAGCAACAAAAAUGGAGGCAAGGAGAAGGAAGGAAUAUGUUGCAGCGCUGUUGCCCUGUGGUGCUCGCUACUGAUGUCUAAUGGCCUAGGAUUGAUGAAAACAAGGAUUGGAAGGAAUGGAUUCGCAAGGAUGAUUCCAUUUUCCUCAUUGUUGAGAUGGGUAUCCUACAAUAAUUACUAAGUACAUAUGUUGUUGAGAUUCAUUAAAGUAUCCAGUUUUCCCACUUUUCUUAUUUUA
Sorghum bicolor (sorghum) is the source of this 2266-nucleotide long non-coding RNA. RefSeq lists it as uncharacterized. The transcript is spliced from 3 exons. NCBI's taxonomy places the organism in Eukaryota, Viridiplantae, Streptophyta, Magnoliopsida, Poales, Poaceae. The record is from RefSeq and is a predicted model, not a curated record.